Long non-coding RNA from Glycine soja, 1377 nucleotides. RefSeq lists it as uncharacterized. Lineage: Eukaryota; Viridiplantae; Streptophyta; Magnoliopsida; Fabales; Fabaceae. The record is from RefSeq and is a predicted model, not a curated record. The transcript is spliced from 5 exons.
UUCAGAAUGAUGAUUUCUCAAGCAAUAAGGUGACAGGUGAAACCACAUCAUUACAAAAAAAAAUAUUUUUGACAGACUAAUUUCCAUAGAUAAAAUUUCGUCAGAAAUAUUAGAAUUUUUGACAAAUUUUUUGAAGGAUUAAAUUCUGUCUGAAAGUUUUGAAUUCUGACGGAUUUUAUCGAAGGAAUCAGAUUCGUCGGAAAUUCCAAUUAUCCCCAAUUAAAAGACCCUAACCAUAGCCCUCUGUCACCCACUUUGCGACAUUCCUCUCCACAACACAACCUCGUGCCUCAGUCUUGCGCCCGCAACCGUCGUGCCUCCAUUGUGCCUCCGCUAUCAGCCCACGCCGCCAACAGCUAGAUUUGAUGGACCAAUCCAAUACAGAUGGAUGUAUCCAUUUGAAAGAUUCAUGGGCGAUUCUAAACGAGCAGUGAAAAAUAAGGCCUAGGUGGAAGGACCUAUUUGGGCGUCUUAUAUACAUCGUGAGACAACUUAUUUUUGUUCUCAUUAUUUCAACAACUUUAUGUUGUCGCCGCGUAAUGUUAGGAAUCAAAUUGCAAUUGAAGCUGAAAGGCGUCCACCGAUGCUAACAGUGUUUGACCAAUAAGGUCGUCCUUCUGGGAAAGAGUUAAUUCACUGGUUAACUGACGAUGAGAAAGACUCAGCCCAUGUUUAUGUGUUGAUUAACUAUGCUGAAGUUAAACCAUACCUCGAUUCAUUCUUGCAAUCCCAGUCAAAUGCCUCUACUCAUAAUCUACAUGUGGAUUUUCUUACUUGGUUCCAACAAAAAGUUAUAAAUGAGCCUACAAAUGUGAGAAACCAACACUUAAAAGAUUUAUCGUAUGGUCCCACGAGUUACAUUAAAGAAUGACACACAUACUUUGUCAAUGGGUACAAAUUUCAUACUCAAGCAUGGAGUGAAGGGAAGAAAAUGAUAAAUAGUGGGGUUCACAUAAAGGGCCUUACAGAAGGAGUUGCAUAUGAUUUUUAUGGGGUCAUUCAACACAUAUAUGAGCUAGAGUAUAAUACUACAACAUAUCCUAAGCAAAUAGUAUUAUUUUAUUGUCACUGAUUUGAUCCAACGAGUGGAGGAACAAAGGUAGAUCCUAAAUAUGACACAGUGAAAUUCGAAUGGAUAAAAGAUAUAAUUUGUUUGACCCAUUCAUCAGUGCACAUAAUAUAAGGUAAGUGUAUUAUGUGCCAUUUCCAGCAACAAGAAGGGACAAACGUGGUUGGUUUGUAGCAAUUAAAACGAAGCCAAAGGGUUACAUAGAAUCCGAUCAUGUACAAGAUGAUGUGCCUUACCAAGUUGAGGAAAUGUCACAUGUCAACGAAGUCAUUGAAGUUGAAAAUAUUUUUGGAUUGCAAGAUUUAAGA